Molecule: small RNA, 1324 nt
Filed under: Pan troglodytes (chimpanzee)
Lineage: Eukaryota; Metazoa; Chordata; Mammalia; Primates; Hominidae
Description: processed transcript
Source: RNAcentral
AGCCGCCACUUCCGAGAGCGCCUGCCGCCCCUGCGCCGCCGAGCCAGCUGCCAGAAUGCCGAACUGGGGAGGAGGCAAGAAAUGUGGGGUGUGUCAGAAGACGGUUUACUUUGCCGAAGAGGUUCAGUGCGAAGGCAACAGCUUCCAUAAAUCCUGCUUCCUGUGCAUGGUCUGCAAGAAGAAUCUGGACAGUACCACUGUGGCCGUGCAUGGUGAGGAGAUCUACUGCAAGUCCUGCUACGGCAAGAAGUAUGGGCCCAAAGGCUAUGGCUACGGGCAGGGCGCAGGCACCCUCAGCACUGACAAGGGGGAGUCGCUGGGUAUCAAGCACGAGGAAGCCCCUGGCCACAGGCCCACCACCAACCCCAACGCAUCCAAAUUUGCCCAGAAGAUUGGUGGCUCCGAGCGCUGCCCCCGAUGCAGCCAGGCAGUCUAUGCUGCGGAGAAGGUGAUUGGUGCUGGGAAGGGAUUAUUAUGAGGUCACAAUGAAGAUCCUUGCCAUUGACUAAAGGAUAUGAAAACAGGAGACAUUAAUAUUAUUAUUAAGUUGGGUUUUUUGUUCUAUCUCAUUAUGAGAAUAGAAAAUUAUUAAGAAUAGCUAAGAAUCACUAUUUCCAUUACUUAGGCAGGCUAUAAGGUAAAGUUAGGGCUGUACUAAGGAGUAGGAUAAGAGAAUUUUGCAUUCAAGUGGAAAAGGUAGGGAGAAGCCCCACCUUUCUAUUGCCUCGCUCAAGAAAUGUUGAGCUGGGAGUACUUUUGGGUGCUUAUGAAUGAGCAAAGGGAUUCAGCUUAUUUUGGCAGGGAGGUGGCUAGGAAAUAUGAGGAGAGGUGUUUGUCUAGGUGUGAUUCAGUUUUUCUCCAGCCUAGAGAGCUUGGGGUAGCAGCCCCUGCUUUACAGAGGAGGCAGCAAAGGCUGGGUGACUAUUGAGGUUGCACCAGCACUGACCUAGACCCAGGUCCCCCCAUUUCAGCUCUCUGGAGGAGAAGCCAAUGUGCAAGUUUAGGCAACCAGGAAAUCUGAGGGGAUGAAUUUCCUUUCUCAUCCGCCAGCCUGGGCACUGGGAGUGUCUUUGCCCUUAAAAGGCCUUGUUUUGUCUUAUCUGACCGCCGCCUGCCUCUUGCUUUUCCUGGGUUAAGCAGAGCUGUCUACACAUCAGCCUCUUAGCCUGCCCAGCUGUUGAUGGGAACUGGCUGUGGAGAAGUCUGUCUGUGCAACGUCCCAUCACUGUGUACAAACUCGGGCCUCAGUUUUUUUCUGGGACAGCUGUUUGCCCUGUGUUACAGAAUGCAUGUGAGGACUAGAUAUUUAAACAUAUGAUGCCUG